GAGAAAAAAACUGGUCUGGAUAGAUGUACUAAUAAAAAAAAUAAGGCAAAAGGAUCAGUCUGGUAGUUACAGUGACUACGCUGAGUUCUAUCCGUCUUACUCUCCUGAGAAUGCUAAGCUAUUCAAAAUGUUGGUUCACUUUGUUAGUGGUGGCGGGGUGCUUUAGAACAAUAGUACAUGCCCAAGUGAUCGCGCUAAGUUCUUGUCCAAAUGUCAGUGUCGUCUCCGACUUUGAAGUCGAUCAAUAUUUGGGGAAAUGGUACGGGAACCGCAACUACUUUGCAAUAUUCCAAUCGGGGCUGGAUUGUGUUACAGCUGAAUACACACUGAAUGGAACCGAAAUCGUUGUGAAAAACGAAGGAAUACAACAAGUUACUAGAAGGAGAAGAACUGCGAACGGAAAAGCUCGUCUGAUUGAACCCGGCAAACUCAGCGUUUCAUUUACCGGCAGACUUUCUGAAACGGACAUUCCAAAUUAUUUUGUACUGGCCACCGACUAUACAACCUACGCUGUUGUGUGGAAUUGUUUUGAUCUCGGACCGAUCAGCUCACGCAUAUUGUGGGUACUGACUCGAGAACAACACCCAUCAAUAUCGACAAUCGAUAAAGCGUACGCUGCACUUAAGCGGAAUGGCAUCGAUGGCAGUAGUUUGAGGUUAACGAAUCAAGAUAAUUGCACAAGACGUUAGCUGGGAGCAAGGAAGCUAUCCAUCUUAGUAGGACAAAGCUGAGCAAAUUCUUUGGGUAACUUAAUUACAAAAACCAAAAAAACUCUGCGGGACACGCUGAUAAAUGAUAACAAAGGAACACGAACCUACAGCGACCUAAAGAGCCCCCCAACUUGAUAAUUCCAUAUUUAAAAGUUUCGGGAGGAACACAAUGCUCUAUUAUUAUACAGCGAAAAAUAAACAACACAUAAAAAUUGUUUACUGCAUAAAGAGCAAUUUACUCCUUCAACUACAAUGUUUUAAAUUGUAGAACGCUUGCGAGGAAGUACCCGCUUUGCAACUAGAGUCUCGAAGGAUGCAUGGACUUACAAACUAUGUCACUUAAUUAACUUUGUUUGCAGCUUGUUAGGCUAGGAAACGAUGACGGGGUUGUUGGGGUCAAAUGUGGGGGUACGCGCAAAGACAGAAAUUAAUGUGCACGCUGAGUUUGACACAGACCACCUAUGGUUGCUUAACGGUUGUUCGACUUUGAAUUGAAUUUUCUGUUUUCUUUUAAUCCGGUCUACGAAAACCUGAAUACCUACUGUAUUAGUUUUUUGUUGUUUUUACGAUGUUACCAAAAUCAAAGUAUUGUAGAAUGUAGACGUACAUAAGAAAAUGAUUUUCAAGGGCCAGUCUAUUGGACUCACGGGACUAGUAGAGAAGCCCAGUUUCUAUCUCUUUCUCAAUCUCAGCAAUGUUUAUCUGUUCGAAAUGGUGGUUUUGUUUCUUGACGGCGUUACUAGAAUGUCAUCGGACAGUGGUACAUGCCCAAGUGUUUGCAUUAGGCUCCUGCCCGAACCUCAACGUCGUUUCAGAAUUUAAAAUGGAUCAGGUAUUAUUUCAUUGACAAGAAAUGUUCUCCACCAAGCUCCCCACAAGUACAAUCGCAGAUCGUCUACCUUAUAACCCUUGUCACUUCCCUUUAAAUUUUCAAUUCAAACCUUCAUUCUUUGGCACAGUAAUUAAAAAAAUUUAGUCAUUUCUUUUCUGAACGCCCCAAAUUUCCAAGUACUUAGGUAAAUGGUACAGCAACCGCAGCUAUUUUUCUUUAUUCAUGUCUGGUCUGGAAUGUGUGACCGCCGAAUAUGUGAGGAACGGGCCAAAAGUAACCGUGAAAAAUAUCGGAAUAAAAAGAAUCACUAGAAUGAGAUCAACUACAACUGGGACAGUUCGUCAUGUCGAACCUCCGAACGGAAAGCUUAACGUGGUAUUUUCCGGUGAUCCUGCCCAGGGAAGCGCUAAUUAUUGGAUACUUGGCACCGACUACACUUCUUACUCUGUUGUGUGGAGCUGCAUGCAUUUCGGAAUUGAACCAAUCAAUACAAGAAUUGCGUGGGUGUUGACACGCGAACAACAUCCAACGAACGCCACCAUCGAGGCUGCGUUAGAUGUGCUCAAGAAAAAUGGAAUCGAUCAGAGCAAACUGAGGUUGACGAAUCAACACAAUUGCUGACAGCGGAGCUACAAGACGCAAUUGGGAAACUCUUCAUGGGAUUAAGGAUAUCGGAAAAUUGGGAAUCAGUCAAAAAUUAGAGCUUGGGCGAUAAAGGCUCAUCGGUUUCGUGACCAAUAAAAAAUUGUGCAACUUUAAGUUUUCUGUUCACGGUUUCUUGUUUAGACGUAGAGUACGUAUAAAAGUGAAAAUGAUUUAAAUGUGAAAUACGAUAUUAUCGCAUUCUUCGUCCAUUUUUAGAAAAAAGUGUAUCAUGCAUUACACAUUAAUUUUUGUAACCAUAUCUGUCUUGUGACUGACGGACUGUACCAUUGUUAUGGAAGAUGUUACUGAUUAACGGUAGUUUGACACCAUUUUCCGCUCCUUGCCGCCCUGGAAACAUAACGGUAAAAUGACCAUCACUCGGGGACCAGUCGCACGUGAACACUGACGAAACCCAGUUCUAUGUUAUUCAUUAAACAAUGCCGUCAAACUGUUUCAAACUUUUGUUUAAUUUAUUAUUUGUUUUUGCAUUCUUUAAUAAAAUGAUACACACCCAAGUGAUUAAGUUGGGUUCUUGCCCAUUCCCAACUAUCAUGUCAGGCUUCGAUCUAGAUAAAUUUUCCGGAUUAUGGUAUAACAACCGAAACUACUAUUCUGUUGCCCAAGCUGGCAUGGAUUGUGUAACGACUGAAUACAACAAUACAGGAAAUGUACUGACCAUAAAAAUUCAAGGGAAAAAAUCCGGUUCUACAAAAACUCUCAUCGGAAAAGGUCUCAAAAUAUCGGACGGUACACUCACAGUGUCAUUUUUCGAAAAUGCUUGGAUGGCUGGUGCUGAAAAUUAUUUGGUUUUGAACACUGACUACACUUCUUACGCUGUUAUCUAUAGCUGUUGGCCCUUCGCAUUCGGCACUACAAGUUUAGCAUGGCUGCUAACUCGCGAUCAAAUCCCAUCAAACAACAUAAUCGAUACAGCAUUAGCUGUAUUUACAGCGAACAAUAUCGACCAGACAAAACUGAAAAUAGUUAAACAAGAAAACUGCUGAUGGCAGCAAAAUUCUGCAAAACAAACCUAGUGAACUUUACUCGACAAAUUAAGGAGAUCAGAAAAAAAAUGUCGCUUUCUGUUUUCCUUCUUUUGACUCAUCAGCUUUUUUAAAAAAACAUUUCGCAAGUUUAAGGUCUGUUUUUCUGUAGCCGAUUUUUCUUUUAAAAUAAAAAAUUUUCGCACAAUCUUUGUCCGAUUACGAAUAAAGCGCUCUCGGCAUUGAAAAUAGAAAUAUUACUUUGGA
RNA transcript from Daphnia pulex (common water flea), 3437 nucleotides. It is a transcript of the gene named lazarillo protein-like, with no coding region annotated. Lineage: Eukaryota; Metazoa; Arthropoda; Branchiopoda; Diplostraca; Daphniidae. The transcript is spliced from 13 exons. The record is from RefSeq and is a predicted model, not a curated record.